ACGUAUGGUGCAAGCGUUAUCCGGAUUUACUGGGUGUAAAGGGAGCGCAGGCGGUGCGGCAAGUCUGAUGUGAAAGCCCGGGGCUCAACCCCGGUACUGCAUUGGAAACUGUCGUACUAGAGUGUCGGAGGGGUAAGCGGAAUUCCUAGUGUAGCGGUGAAAUGCGUAGAUAUUAGGAGGAACACCAGUGGCGAAGGCGGCUUACUGGACGAUAACUGACGCUGAGGCUCAAAAGCGUGGGGAGCAAACAG
This 251-nucleotide ribosomal RNA is filed under the name uncultured bacterium. RNAcentral describes it as "partial 16S ribosomal RNA". It matches the Rfam family "Bacterial small subunit ribosomal RNA", at positions 525 to 775 of the family's 1533-position model. The record is from RNAcentral.